AGGGGCUGGGGCCGGCGUGGUGGGAGCCUGGCUGGGGCAGGGGAUGGGUGUCAGCAGCUUUCGCUGAUCGCUGCUGUUUCGGUGUGUGCUUGAAAUGUCUCAUGCAGCCGUGGCUCCGGUGAGUGGCCUGUGGAAGGGAAACCUGUCUGAUGAUGUAAAGUGAGAUUUUUGGGGUGCAUCCAGGCUUUUCAGGGAAAGGACUGAUGUAGUCAGCACGAACAAGCGCGUUUCGGUCGGUGCUGGCCUUGGAAAAGCCAGAGCCAUUGACGCAUCCGACAGCUGAAGGUUUUGCUGUGUCUUGUACUUUAAGCCAUGACUUUGUGUGAUGGUUUUCCCCCUGGUGAGGUUUGGGACUGGUACCCAAAGUGAAUGCACUGCCAGCAGCGUUGCAUCCCCCAGUCUAAAUCCUCAUAUCGUGAAGCUGCGUGGCCAAAUGUACCCGAAUUGAGUCUGCCCAGCACAGGGGACGAUGGCAACCGCCUUCGCUCCCAUCCCGACUCACCCACCCAGCUAUUAUGGAUUCUCACAGAUCACUUGGCAUCGGGCCAUGGCACGGUAUUGCCGGGUUUGCAUUAUAACCUCUUAUUACAAAACCCUCAACGUUUCUCCGGAUUGUUUCGCCUGUUAUCAUUUUUCCCACAAUGCGCUUGCAUGAUCCUCUCUCAGACUUAACCACAUGGCAACCACAUCACAUAAUGCAACUUCUGUUCUGAGAUUAUUCAUAUUUUUUUUCCCCUAUUGUUGCUUUGCCAAGUUUGUCUUCUAAUUCUGAGAAGCUGAAUUUAAAAGAGCAGUGUCUCCGGUGCAAGGACAUGCUUAGGAGGCAGCGUGAGCAAAUCAACUCGACAAGUGUGUUCACAGGAGUCAAACGGGGGGGAGCUGUGAAAAAGCAAAACAAAAGCCCCUCCAAAUGUCUAUUUUUAUUUUAUUUCGUUUUCUGGAAUGUCUCAUCACAUGAAAUAACAAUGCAUCCCGGCAAAGAGACUGCAGACAGGCUCCAGUGAGAGGGCAGCUGAGGAAAAGAUUGCUUUAUAAGUAGGUUUUUAUACGCAAUCUAUCACAAAUGCCAGUUCCCAGCAGAAUGGGAUAAACAACAAAAAAAGGGCUGUGCUAUCUGGGAUGUGUGUUUGCAGUCGUGCUGCUGGAAGGGAGCAGAGCCUGCGGCCGCGGGCACGCUGCCUGUGUCCCUUGCCGACAUGGAGGACGGUGUGCCGCAGAGGGGCUGGGGCGCGGGCACCGCUCAGGUACCGCUCCGGCUCCAGGUCCUGCUUCCCAGGGAGGAUGCGAAUGGCUUGGGGCUGGUCCAGGGGGGAAGGAGAGAGAGGGGGGCCUGGGCAACACGACCGAUGAGGGAUAACGGAAAGAAAUGAGGUUGUUUAGUCUGGAAAAGGGAAGGCGGCAGGAGGGGGGAAGCGUUCUCAGGCUCUUCAGCUGCACAGGGGCUGCGGUACAGCGGAAGGGGCUGACGCGGUUCCCGUGCCCUGGGACGUCAGGAACUGCCGCGGCCAAGCCCUGGCCUUGGCGCUGCAAAACCACCACCGUCGAAGCCCCGUCGGUCUGACGAGCACUGGGACGAUGGGGAAGUGCACCAAACCCCUGGCGUUUCUGCCCAGUUUCCCAUCUGUGGCAGCCACCAAGGCACUGCCCACUUCUUGACUUCGUUUCUGAUAAAAAGGAUGGAUUUUCCUUCCAAAUGUUUCCAGUCACUGCCAUAUGAAGAGCUUCUGCCAGAUGCGUCGAGCCUCCAAGGAGAGCGGCAGCUUCUACAAAACACCACGGCGAGGCUGGGGGAGAUCAUAUGGUGGAGAACUGGAGGGCAGAGCUGUGCAGCCUGCCCGCGAGCCCGGCUUCCCAGGAAAGCGGUGGAAGGACAUUGAUUUAUGAUCAAAAGGGAAAAAGCAAAGCAGAAUAAAAAGAAUACUUAAGACUUAAAAA
Molecule: long non-coding RNA, 1935 nt
Organism: Aquila chrysaetos chrysaetos
Lineage: Eukaryota; Metazoa; Chordata; Aves; Accipitriformes; Accipitridae
Exons: 3
Source: RefSeq, a predicted model, not a curated record